Molecule: unclassified non-coding RNA, 214 nt
Filed under: plant metagenome
Description: partial contains small subunit ribosomal RNA, internal transcribed spacer 1, and 5.8S ribosomal RNA
Source: RNAcentral
GUUUCCGUAGGUGAACCUGCGGAAGGAUCAUUCAUAAUAAGUGUUUUAUGGCACUUUUUUAAAUCCAUAUCCACCUUGUGUGCAAUGUCAGGGUUGAUUUUUCUCUCGAGAGGAUCAACCCCAAACAUCAACUAUAUCUCAACUCUUUGUCUGAAAAAUAUUAUGAAUAAAACAAUUCAAAAUACAACUUUCAACAACGGAUCUCUUGGCUCUC